This 267-nucleotide ribosomal RNA is filed under the name Escherichia coli. Its description in RNAcentral is "partial 16S ribosomal RNA". It matches the Rfam family "Bacterial small subunit ribosomal RNA", at positions 957 to 1224 of the family's 1533-position model. Lineage: Bacteria; Pseudomonadati; Pseudomonadota; Gammaproteobacteria; Enterobacterales; Enterobacteriaceae. The record is from RNAcentral.
AUACGCGAGGAACCUUACCCGGGCUUGAAUUGCAGAGGAAGGAUUUGGAGACAAUGACGCCCUUCGGGGCCUCUGUGAAGGUGCUGCAUGGUUGUCGUCAGCUCGUGCCGUGAGGUGUCGGCUUAAGUGCCAUAACGAGCGCAACCCCUCUCCUUAGUUGCCAUCAGGUUAAGCUGGGCACUCUGGGGACACUGCCACCGUAAGGUGUGAGGAAGGUGGGGAUGACGUCAAAUCAGCACGGCCCUUACGUCCGGGGCUACACACGUG